This 2103-nucleotide long non-coding RNA is filed under the name Nicotiana benthamiana. RNAcentral's name for it is "long non-coding RNA (NBEN_LNC035349)". The record is from RNAcentral. Lineage: Eukaryota; Viridiplantae; Streptophyta; Magnoliopsida; Solanales; Solanaceae.
CAGAAGACAAGAACUGGAUAUUCUAAGGCUUGGAGGAACUAGAGGGCUGGGUUUGGAGAAGGUUGAGCAUAUUCUGAAGCAUUCCAUCAUUCUUCUCCUUUUCCUUUGCUAGGUCAGCUCUAUGGCCAUCUCUCUCAGUUUCCAAUUCAGCAACACUAGCUUGAGGCCUAGCAAUAUCAGCAUCCUUAGUUCCACAUUCUUGAACCAAAGCCUUAACCUUGCUGUUCACAAGUGUCUUCAGAGAUGAACCAGGUUCAACUGGGGUGGCAUUCACUGGAUAGUCACAAGCCCGCAGAGUUUUGAUGCGAAAGUGUGCUUGAUGGCAUCUCCCAUUCUUCAAAGGCACACUCAGCCUUUCCAUAACAACAGUCAAUAGGAACCCAUAUGGAGUGGCAUGAGCCUUGGAUCCAUUGAUGACCCUAUCCAACGGUUUGACAAUGAAAGCAGGCUAAUUUAUCUGCAUUCAUCUCAUAAGGCACUCUAUAAGAAUGAGAUCCAUGUAGUUGGCACUGUGCCUUCUCUCCUAUCUGGGCAGUAGGCACUUGUUAACAAACUCAAACAGCACAUUGUGCUCAGGCCUCAUUUCAAACUAGCCUCAGCCACAUCUUUAGCAGCUUUAGUAUCACAAAAAUUUCUAGUAAUUUGGAGAGAAGUAUGGAGAGAAUCUAGAUAAGGCCACCUCUACCUAGUAUAAUCAUCAUACCAUACACUGGGUAUGUCCAGAAUCUCACCCAAUUUGGGUGCAUCAAACUGCACCUUUACUCCUUUCACCAGACUGGUGAAUACCCCAUUCUUCACAGUGGCAAUGGCCAUGAAUUGAAUCAGUUCCUUCUUGGCCAGCCUCCCAUCCACUUCAAGUACCAUGUCCUUCCACCUUUGUAUAUCUAGAGCAUCCACCAAUCUUCUCAUUUUUGGCUCAUCCAAGUCUUUCAACAAUCUUCCUUUCAAAUUUGUUCUUCUGCCAAAGAUGGAAAACCUAUCCUGUUCUUUCUCAGACUCCUCUUCUUCUUCUCUACUCCAUUCUUCUUUUCUUCUUCAGUAAUUUUUACCUGUUUUCCUUUAACUGCAGAUCUGGUUCUUUUGGCUAAGAAGGGUUCAACAGAUAAAUUUUUUGAUGAAUACUUUUUGGAAGAAGUCUUGGAUCCUUUUGGUUUGGGGGUAGGAACCUCCACUGUUCAACCUCUUUCUUGAUAGAACAGUUCCAUCUCCUCCUCUUCUUCUUCUGCAGCCUCAGAACUUUCCACAACCUUUGCUUUUCCCUUUUCCUUCUUGGUUUUCUUGCUUUCUUCCAGAGCUUUCUGUAACUCUGCUUCACUUUGUUUGACCAUGCUUCUAGUAGCUCUUCCCUUUGGUACUAAGGGGACAAUAGGCUUUGGAGAUGAUACUUUUCUUUUAUUUGUUGUCUUGGAAGCAGUUGGAGCCUUUUGUGAGGAAUCUUCUUUGGAACAUAAUUGGCUCCAAACAUUUUUAGAAUGUUUGCUAGGGUUUCCUCAACAGAUGAACCGGGUUCAUCUUAUUGCUUGCUCAAAUGAACAAGCCCUUCAACAGCCUCCCCAGAACCUCCCCAUGACUUAUUGUCACUCUUUUCAAUACCUCCACAGAUAGCAAGAACUUGUUUUUUACCUCCCACCUACUUGACUUAACCCCCUUUACAUCUUUCACAGAACCAACCAAAACAAACCUAUUAUCUAAAUUUUCAACCACAUAUGACAAUACCAUGAAAGAACUUACCUCACCAUGGGUUUCUUGAAUCUUGUCAGUGUCAGAAGACCCAUGUUCUUCACCUUCGCUGGCAGAGAUAAAAUCUUCAGACUCAGAGCUGGAGUCAGAUUCUUUAGUAGGACUUUCCUUCUUCUUCCUAGCCCUCAAUUUCUCAUUCAGAGCUUUUCUCAGAGAACCAAAAGCUACAGUUUUUCUAGCCAACACUUUCUACCUGUGAAACCUAGGUUUUGGGGGUUAACUAGGGGUGUAGAUGAGGAUGUAUUAGAAGGGGAUACUGGUGGGGGAGUUCCAGUAUUAUCAUGGGGUUAGUCAUGGUGAAUUAUUUCUGGAGAAUAUUUGGGAAUUUUGGAGAGAAAAGAGAUGAUCAGAACUAGAUAGAGG